Molecule: RNase P RNA, 360 nt
Filed under: Candidatus Aminicenantota bacterium
Lineage: Bacteria; Candidatus Aminicenantota
Description: Candidatus Aminicenantes bacterium RNase P RNA component class A
Rfam family: Bacterial RNase P class A
About the family: Ribonuclease P (RNase P) is a ubiquitous endoribonuclease, found in archaea, bacteria and eukarya as well as chloroplasts and mitochondria.
Source: RNAcentral
UGGGGUAGGUGAGGUGGUUGCUCCUUCUUCGCCUCAAGGCCCAGAAGGGGAGGAAAGUCCGAACUCCGAAGGGCAGGAUGGUCGCUAACAGCGACUCCGAGCGAUCGGAGGAAAGUGCCACAGAAAACAAACCGCCCUGUAGGAUUGGUGUCCACCUUCUUUCAGAGUAAGGGUGAAAAGGUGAGGUAAGAGCUCACCGUUCUGAUGGUGACAUCAGGAGCACGGUAAACCCCAUCCGGAGCAAGACCGAAUUGGCCCCGGUUGAAACGGCCCGUUUCGAGGGGCGGGUAGGUUGCUCAGACAAAUAACCGCCCUCGCUUCUGGCGGGAACAGAAUUCGGCUUACGUCCUGCCCCAGCCA